AGCUAAGACAGUAAACCCAACAAUUACACCUGAUAAUUAUACUCGGGGUUCAACUCCCCUCCUUAGCU
This 68-nucleotide transfer RNA is filed under the name Cyema atrum (bobtail snipe eel). RNAcentral's name for it is "tRNA-Leu (UUR)". The record is from RNAcentral. Lineage: Eukaryota; Metazoa; Chordata; Actinopteri; Anguilliformes; Cyematidae.